This 2301-nucleotide long non-coding RNA is filed under the name Marmota monax (woodchuck). The record is from RNAcentral. Lineage: Eukaryota; Metazoa; Chordata; Mammalia; Rodentia; Sciuridae.
UUUUUUUUUAAUAUGAAUUUAGUUACCAACAUUUAAAAAUCAGAUUUAAGUUAAAACCUGCAUUUCCAGUAUUCAAGUCUAUUUUAAGAUCUGGCAGCACAAAGCGAAACUGGUAACUGGCUGACAGUGAAAAGUAGGGUGCUUCCUUUGAGUCGGACUGUAGCUCUCCAUACAGUCCCCUCACUCACCUCCGCGGCGCCGGUUCUGGUCCUGGGCUCUGACGUACAAGGUAGACUUUCUCUUUCGCAGCUUUGUUUUCCCGUGGGAGCGGUUUUGGAGAGCGCGGAAAGCAAGGCUGCGGCCGCCACCUUCCGGCUCCAUUUCCACCUGCUUGGAGGCCAGCAGACGUUCCCCAGCCGCCACCUUCCAAGGACGGAAGGAAGGUGGAGAAACGCGCGCUGCUGGUGCUGCAGUAAGUUUGGUCUUUGCGAGCAGCCGUCGCUUGCAGACGCGGAGGUAUCCGGGCCAGGGCCAGUCUUGAAGCCAACGCGCCAGGCAGUCCCCGCAGCAGAGUGCGGGUCUUCUGCAGAAGGCUCCCGCGUUUUCUCUUUGGCGCUGCCUAGCCGCGGAGGACGGGAAUAGCUGCCUGUUUUUGGUUUUGUCUCUGCUCCGACGUCCGGAAGUGCUGCCGGAAGGAGACCAAUCUCCCCUCGCGGGGACAGGCGAAGGCGCGGGGGAAGCGUCGCGGAGCUGCCACGGGACGGUCGGACGUGCCGAGUGCUGGCGGUACUGGUAAUGAUAAUCAUAAACCUAAGUGUGUAACAUUGCACUGCUUCGGUGGUCUUACAGAAACUCCCUGUUGAACGGGGUAGUCAGGGUAGCUUAUUGCACCUAUGUAGCAACAGGCUGAAAGGACUGGGGAGGGAGGGUGUGUUGAUUUAACCCGUAACCAUUGAACCAAGCAUGAUUGAUAAAAUUUGUCACUUAUUGACUCAACUGUAGGAGAUAGGAGAAAACAGGCUUUUCUUGCCCAAGUUAGUUUAAAUUACAUUCCAGGCAUAUUAAGGGCAGGCUAGUUAGUUUAUAGUCUGAUAUUUGUGACCUCUGGUGCUGGUGUAGGAGGCCAUGUUAAAAUCGAGUAAACAAAUUCUUCACUGUGCUUUCCUUAUUCUAGAAAGGAAUAUGUUGGCAAGGAAUAUCACUUUCUGGAAAGCCUUAGAGUCUUUCAGUUGUUAAAAAUUUAACAGCACAUUUCAUUAUAUUUUUCUUAAAAGCAUAUUUUUCUUAAAAUAUAAAUUAUAGAUGGCAGAUAAUUUAUAUUUGAUAUCUUCUGUGCUUACUAAAACAAAAAAAGAAACAAUUUUUUUUUUUUUUUUUUGCUGGGUAUUGAACCCAAAGGUGCUUUUUGCCACUGAGUCACAUCUCCAUCCCCUUUUUAAUUUUUUUAUUUUGAGACAGGGUUUCAUUAAAUUACUUAAGUCCUUGCUAAGUUGCCCAUGUUGGUCUCAAACUAGCAGUCCUUCUGCCUCAGCCCCAGAGUCGCUGGGAUAUCAGGCAUCGGCCACUAUUCUAGGUGGAACUCAUUAAAUCGUUUAGCUCAUUAAACAAUUGUUCUUAUGGUACAUACUACUAAAAAACAUGAAUAAUCCAAAAAGGACGAAUGGAAAGUAAUAAUUCUCUGUCUACCUUACUCUUGCUUCCAGUUCACAUUUCUCAGAGGCAAUCACAGCUUUUUCCAACUGUUUUGUUUUGUUUUAAUUUGUUUUGUGGUAUGAAUUAAAAGCAUAAAGAGAGUGUCAUUCCCUGCCAUCUUUUUCCCAUAUUAAGUUAUCCAUUUAAAACCAUGGAGAACAUACUGUAAUAAAAGAAGAUUUAGCUUUGUCUUAUAUCGUCUCCUUACCUUAUUUCCCAUAGUUAAAGUGAUGCUUCAAUAGUACAAAAAAUGUUGUUCACUCUCAAGCAAAGUAGUGAUAUGAAAUCUUAAAGUGAUUAUACUAAGUCAUUGCUCUGUUUCCUCUUUUCUUUGUACAGAGAUAUGAAGAGAUUUGCUGAAUGUGGAAUAUAACUUUUCAGAACCACCUUUGUUUUAUUCUGUGUUUGUUGCAACAAUGUUUGGGAGAUUGACUUUUCCACAACUGCUUUUUGCUGGAGUCCUUGGACUUGCUGGAGGAAUAUAUAUUUAUCAACCAAUAUUUGAACAAUAUUCCAGGGAGCAGAAGGAAUUAAAAGAAAGGGCGAAAUUGGCACAAGCAUCAGAAGAGAAGAAAAGUUAAUACUACCUGGAGUUGAAUUGUAACAGUUGAUUAAAAUUUUGCUGAAAUUAUACACUGACCUAGGAAAAACUUAGGUAUUUUUUAAACA